Non-coding RNA from Paramuricea clavata, 130 nucleotides. Lineage: Eukaryota; Metazoa; Cnidaria; Anthozoa; Malacalcyonacea; Plexauridae. The record is from the annotation of a GenBank genome assembly.
AAUUUGCAACCCAGUGCUGAGUUCAACCCCGGGGUUGAAAUUUCAACCCCGGGGUUGAAAUUUCAACCCUGCUUCAUCUAGCAGGGUUGAAAUUUCAACCCCAGGGUUGAACUCAGCACUGGGUUGAAAA